Molecule: long non-coding RNA, 801 nt
Filed under: Setaria viridis
Lineage: Eukaryota; Viridiplantae; Streptophyta; Magnoliopsida; Poales; Poaceae
Description: long non-coding RNA (SVIR_LNC009943)
Source: RNAcentral
CGCCUGCCUUAGUUCAUGUACCUCCUUGAUCGAUCCUGCGCUGAGCGUGCCUGUGCUUCGCGAUUUUGUGGUGUGUUGCGUUGCGCCGUGAUGCAGAGCACCACGGAGCAAAACAUGUCGCAGGGGAAAACGUUUGCUACAACCCAAGAGUCCAAGCAAGAUGAAACAGCGAGGGGGAGAUGGUUCAGUGCCUGUGUCUCACUGCCUUCGUUAACAUCAAGAUGAAGUGGCACGUAUUCAAGAGGUACGUGCACAUGAUUCCCACGGCAACAGUGCUGGAUUUUUGACAACGAUUACAAAGAUUUGAUGGAGGGUAGCAAUAAACUUCCAGCGGGGCAGGCCUUCCUCCAUCCAAGCAACCAGGGUUUCGCCCGGUAUGAGCUAAUAGUGCAUCUGACAUGCGCUCGGAACAAUAGUUCUUACCAUCCCAGAGGUCACGAGCUUCACUCCUUAGACGAUCAUCAACAGGUGGGAGGAAGGAAUAACCAUCAACGACGUGGAGGCCUACUAUCUGUUCAUGUAAAGGUGGAGGGAUCUAUCUUGCGCCUUGCUGGUGGCACAGAAGAAAGGUAUGAGAACAAGGGCAACAACUCGACUAUGUGAUGCCAAGCUCUUUAGUUGCUGGAGUUUGUUGAUCUUCUAAGUUACGGCACUGUUUUGUUUUUCUCCCAGAUGUUCACAUGCCGACAAGAUGGGACUUGCAAUUCCCAUAGUUUGUUCAUCUCCAAUUUCCCACGAAACUUUCAGGCUUUAUUUGCCUAUCAACCAUGCAUGCCAUCUAAAAUAGGUUGCAGCCUCUAG